Molecule: ribosomal RNA, 69 nt
Filed under: Parabacteroides acidifaciens
Lineage: Bacteria; Pseudomonadati; Bacteroidota; Bacteroidia; Bacteroidales; Tannerellaceae
Description: Parabacteroides sp. 426-9 partial 23S ribosomal RNA
Source: RNAcentral
GAUAAAGAAAGUAAGCAAGGGCAGACGGUGGAUGCCUUGGCUCUCGGAGGCGACGAAGGACGUGAUAAG